Long non-coding RNA from Panthera uncia (snow leopard), 2715 nucleotides. RefSeq lists it as uncharacterized. The record is from RefSeq and is a predicted model, not a curated record. NCBI's taxonomy places the organism in Eukaryota, Metazoa, Chordata, Mammalia, Carnivora, Felidae. The transcript has 2 exons.
CCCCGAUCUCGCCCCCACCCCGGCCCGGUCCGGCCCAGCGGGCAGGGGGCCCGGGCGGCGAGGGAGCGGUGAGUGCCAGCUCUGAACUCUGCCAUCUUCUUCCUGCUGCAAACGAGCCCACCCCGCUCCAUCUACCCCCAGGGAAAUGGGCUCCAGGCGACCUCCCCGAGGACAGAGUCUGGGGCAAGGAGACCUCGGGAGAAGAGUGCCCCGCGGGGUCAGUUCAAAACUACCAGGGCGGAGCUGCUUCGGUGUCUGGGUGAAGUUUUCGACCAACCCCAGGAGGAAAGCGAGAGGGAAGAGGUCGAGAGCUGUUAAUUCCCAGUGCUUUUGCUGCUUGAAAACAGCCCCACUUGGAAUGCUAGGCGCUGAAACUUAAUCACUGGGGGGCUGAACCCCACUAUCUCCGGGCUCCAGUCCCAGGCGGGAGCGUCGACCCAGGAGAAAGGGGAAAAUGGGGGCCGGAGGGGCAAGGAGGAAGGGAAGACAAUCGAAGGAAACCCGUGUCUAGACUUAUCCCGAGCCCUCUCGCCCUCUGUCUCUCUGUCUCUCUCUCUCCCUCCCUCUGUCCCUCCCUUCCUCCCUCCCUCCCUCUCUCCCGCUCUCCCCCUCUCUCGGCUGCCCGCAAAAGCCCCAGGUCCCCUCUGGGGACCAGUACUGCCUUCACUUUUUAGUGACUGCAGAGAAAAGAAGCUCCAGAAAGUAUUUCACUUACAGUGACAAACAGUGGCAGCCACUGACAUGAUCGGCUGCACCUCAGGUUGUUGGGACCAGGCAUUCAUUCAUGCGCGUGAACGCCCAUAUUGCUGUACCAGGUUGGAGUACAAAAAGUGAGUCCCCCGGAGAUCACGAAUAAUUGGAGGAAACUCUAAAGUCCUCCACCGAGGGUCCUCCAGGAUACCUCCAGAUACCUUCAUGGUUGUCACUGGUACAUCAUCUUCACUGCGUUAUGAAGCCCUGCCUUCCCCAAGCACUGCUAGGAGAAUGUGGCAAAUACAAAGUUUAGAAAAGCGUGAGCCCUGAUAACCUAAGAGCUUACCAUCUUGUGUAAAUUUUGUGUACCUAGUAAAUGGUACUGUCAGCUGCACUGACAGCUCGGAGCCCGGAGCCUGCUUCAGAUUCUGUGUCUCCCUCUCUCUCUCUCUCUCUCUCUCUCUCUCUCUCAGCCCCUUCCCUGCUCGUGCUGUCUCUCUCUCAAAAAUAAAUAAAUCUUUAAAAAAAUUUUUUUAAAUGUUCAUACUCCUGGGGCACCCGGGUGGCGCAGUCAGUUGAUCGACUAACUUCAGCUCGGGUCAUGAUCUCACGGUUCAUGAGUUCAAGCCCCACAUCGGGCUUCCUGCUGCCCGCCUGUCAGUGCAGAGCCUGCUUUGGAUCUUCUGUCCCCCUCUCUCUGCCCCUCCCCUGUGUGCGCUCUGCCAAAAAUUUAUAAAUAAGUAUUAAAAUGUUCAUAUUCCUCAACCCAGAAAGGCUACUUGAAGUCACGUAUCCUAAAGUUACAACCAAAAAGUACAUUAGAAUGGAUACGAAAAGAUGCAUGUCGGGAUAGCUAUAAUUGUGGGAAAACUAGGAACAGAUUAAAAUUUUAACAGAUUUUUAAGUAAAUGACAGUAUUUUUAUGCAGCAAGUACUACAUAGUCAUUAAAAAUGAUGUAUUACAAUAUUUAGUAGCAUGCAAAAGUAUUUUCAUUAUCCAUUGUUAAGAAAGAAAAACACAGGGUACAAAACAAAUGUAUACCCUGACCUCAAGCUACUUCAUAUAUAUGAAGUUAUAUUUAAGUAUAUAAUUUACAUAUUUAUAUAAUGUUAUGUGUAUAUGCAUAACCAGAGAAAAACCUGGAAAUAUAUACACCAAGAUUUAACAGUGGCUAUCCUUGGAAUUAAAGAUGAUUUGUUUUCAGUUUGUAAUCAAGCAAUAAAGACCAUCAUGCUAAAACUCUUUUGGGUUAGCAGUCAGGGCAAUAACAUGACAGCAAGACAAGGACGAAGAAACAGGGCAGUGGACAGAAAUUUUGGGGCACUGAACUGAGGCAUUACCAUUGGAAAACUCUCAAACAUUGGAGCCCAAAUUGCAUAACAAAUAAUCUUUUCCAACAAAUAAGCCGUGGUGGGGGAGGGGAACAUUGGACCACAAUAACCUUGUAUAAAAAGUAAUCAGAAUCCCAUUUCAUAUCCAGAGGCUAGAGAGGCCAAGGGCAUGUAGGUUAUAAUGGGAUACGACUUAUCUGGAAACAGUGGCUUGCAUUCAUUAGCUGGUCUAUUUCCCUAUUUAUUUUUCCCUGUUAUUUUCCCUGUUUAUCUCCUCACCAUGACUGAACUUCAUUUCCUCCUUGGACCAUGUUUAUACCACUGAGCACGAUUCUCCUUGAAAGAAAGGAAAGAAGCAAACCAAAAGUUCCUGGUCGUACUCAGUCAUAUACAGACAUUACCCAGGAUCCCCGGGGCAGUGGUCCUGUCCCUCUGUUUUAACAGAGCAGAUGACUGACAUCCCCCAGGAUGAGAUCCUGCCCAAUUGGUUAUUGCAUCCAUUCAUCCAUUAACACAUUUUUUGAAUGCCAAGUACAAGUCAGACAUCUGGUUCGGCGUUGGGUCCAUGAACACUGGCUCCUCAGGUACCUCUUAUCCCGUUCUAGGGAAAUAAUCUCCCAGAAUCCAAACUUCAGAAUUUUACUACAGUAACACAAUUGAUUAAAUUUAGAGUCAAAAUAGCUCUAAUUU